RNAcentral lists this long non-coding RNA (287 nucleotides) under Olea europaea (common olive). Its description in RNAcentral is "long non-coding RNA (OEUR_LNC007937)". Lineage: Eukaryota; Viridiplantae; Streptophyta; Magnoliopsida; Lamiales; Oleaceae. The record is from RNAcentral.
UGGCAGAAGCUGGAAUUCAUUGAAAGACCCAGUUUCCCAGCUUCAACGAAAGAUAAACCCAAACUGAAAUUUAUUAGACCCUACAAGGAUUAUUGUCCAUAAAAAAUGAAAAUCUAAAACGUGAUGAAUAAAUUUCUCCAUAAUAAUUAUGCCAUCAAUGCGGAGCCACUGCAAAGUCUCCUAUCAAUCUGAAAAUGUUAAAUAGGAUUAAACAUCUCAAUAAUACUCAGUAGGCUACACAAUUUAUAUGGACAUAAUAAUCAUGCAUGUAAAUAUGUAUUCUUACA